AUUGAACGCUGGCGGCAGGCCUAACACAUGCAAGUCGAACGAGUGGCGGACGGGUGAGUAAUGUCUGGGAAACUGCCCGAUGGAUGGGGAUAACUACUGGAAACGGUAGCUAAUACCGCAUACCAUCGGAUGUGCCCAGCUGGGAUUAGCUAGUAGGUGGGGUAAUGGGUCACCUAGGCGACGAUCCCUAGCUGGUCUGAGAGGAUGACCAGCCACACUGGAAAUGAGACACGGUCCAGACUCCUACGGGAGGCAGCAGUGGGGAAUAUUGGACAAUGGGCGAAAGGCUGAUGCAGCCAGGCCGCGUGAAGGAAGAAGGCGUUCGGGUUGUAAAGUACUUUCAGCGAGGAGGCGUUACUCGGAGAAGAAGCGCCGGCUAACUCCGUGCCAGCAGCCGCGGUAAUAC
This 406-nucleotide ribosomal RNA is filed under the name uncultured bacterium. RNAcentral's name for it is "partial 16S ribosomal RNA". It matches the Rfam family "Bacterial small subunit ribosomal RNA", at positions 29 to 526 of the family's 1533-position model. The record is from RNAcentral.